CACGGCUAAACUAUGUGCCAGGCAGCCGCGGUAAUACAUAGGGUGGCAAGCGUUAUCCGGAUUUUAUUGGGCGUAAAGAGUGCACAGGUGGUUAUAUAAGUUUGAUGUUAAAGACCGAAGCUCAACUUCGGUUCGCAUUGAAAACUGUAUAACUAGAAUGCAGGUGGGAAUAGUGGAAUUCGAUGUGUAGCGGUGGAAUGCAUAAAUAUAUCGAGGAACACCAGUGGCGAAGGCGGCUAUUUGAACUGUAAUUGACACUUAAGCACGAAAGCGUGGGGAGCAAAUAGGAUUAGAUACCCUAGUAGUCCACGCCGUAAACGAUCUAGAUUAGAUGUCGGAAUUAUUCGGUAUCGCAGCUAACGCAUUAAAUCUAGCGCCUGGGUAGUACGCACGCAAGUGUAAAACUCAAAGGAAUUGACGGGGACCCGCACAAGUGGUGGAGCAUGUGGUUUAAUUCGAUGAUACGCGAAAAACCUUACCUACGCUUGACAUACUUGGCAAAACUAUAGAGAUAUAGUCGAGGUUAACCAAUGUACAGGUGGUGCAUGGUUGUCGUCAGCUCGUGUCGUGAGAUGUUUGGUUAAGUCCAGCAACGAGCGCAACCCCUAUCCUAUGUUACCAGCAUUAAGUUGGGGACUCAUGGGAGACUGCUAGGGUAACCUAGAGGAAGGUGGGGAUGACGUCAAAUCAUCAUGCCCCUUAUGCGUAGGGCUACACACGUGCUACAAUGGUACAUACAAAGUGCUGCGAACCCGUGAGGGUAAGCGAAUCACAAAAAAUGUAUCUCAGUCCGGAUCGAAGUCUGCAAUUCGACUUCGUGAAGUUGGAGUCACUAGUAAUCGUAGGUCAGCAAUACUACGGUGAAUACGUUCUCGGGUCUUGCACACACCGCCCGUC
RNAcentral lists this ribosomal RNA (897 nucleotides) under uncultured Mollicutes bacterium. RNAcentral's name for it is "bacterial SSU rRNA". It matches the Rfam family "Bacterial small subunit ribosomal RNA", at positions 492 to 1398 of the family's 1533-position model. Lineage: Bacteria; Bacillati; Mycoplasmatota; Mollicutes. The record is from RNAcentral.